CCCGCCGUAGCUCAGUGAUAGAGCAUCUGCCUUUUAAGCAGAGGGGCGGUGGUUUGAGUCCACCCGGCGGGACCA
This 75-nucleotide transfer RNA is filed under the name Chloroflexota bacterium. Its description in RNAcentral is "Chloroflexi bacterium tRNA-Lys". It matches the Rfam family "tRNA". From Rfam's summary of the family: Transfer RNA (tRNA) molecules are approximately 80 nucleotides in length. Their secondary structure includes four short double-helical elements and three loops (D, anti-codon, and T loops). The record is from RNAcentral. Lineage: Bacteria; Bacillati; Chloroflexota.